Molecule: long non-coding RNA, 1587 nt
Organism: Eucalyptus grandis
Lineage: Eukaryota; Viridiplantae; Streptophyta; Magnoliopsida; Myrtales; Myrtaceae
Exons: 2
Source: RefSeq, a predicted model, not a curated record
AUAGCAAUAAACCCUAAAUAUAUAAUAACUCUAGUAUUUUUUAUUUUUUAAUAAUUUUUUGUUAAGUGGCUGGUUCCAUUGGAUCGGAUUGGCCGAUUGGAUCCUAUUCCCGCUCCUAGGAUUGUUCGGUCCAAUCCCCAGUCCCAAAAAAGGGGAACCGGUCCUCCCGGUUUGGUUUGAUUCCAAGGAAUAGGGUACCGGAUCGAAAACCAAUCACUCAUUUGUUCUACGCUCUUUACUAGCACACAAAGACCUAUUUAUAUCGGCCACUUUCACCAAGAUGGUGCAUUCGAAAAUCUCUCUUCAUCAAAGAUCUUCUCUUAUUCUUUGGCUCUAGGCCACACAAUUCGCCAACCACGAGUAGACUAAAUUCUUAUAGAUGGCUAGAGGCUCCUACAUUUUUUUUUUUUUUUAUUUAGAAAAUUUGAUCAGAUUUUGACACUCCUUCUUGAUCAUAAAUAUAUGAGAUUUUAUUAAAAUAUAGGCAUCGAUUCGAUGGAUAAUUUUGUUUAGAUAUUUCGUGAUUUUCAUUAAGGUACCGGUUCAAAUCUUAAUCGUCACCGUCAAUUCACAAAUCUAUCAUAUUAAAAAAAAAUUAGUGUGGCUAACAUUAUUCCGAAAUAUAUAAGUAAAUGGAUGAAGUUUUGUCUGGAUGAUAAAAAUUAAGAACCUCGAUUUUGUUUUAGGUCAAUUCUAGCGAAAAACAUUUCGAUUUAGCGUCAAAACUUCCAAGUAUUCUAUUAUCUGAUUUCUUAACAAAUUCCCAAUAAAACUUGCAAAAAAUCCUUUCUUCACAAAAUGAAAAAUCUUAAAUCUAAAUCUUGAAAAAGAUAUAUUUCAAGAUAUACAAAGCAGACGCUGACAUUGGGCCAAAAAAGGCCUCCACGAUUUCUUCAUCUUCUUCUCCGAUCGGCCUACCAACAAAAGCAAAGGCCUCAUCCUCUGAAUUCUCCACAGAAGGGGAAAAGGCUACAGCGAGAUAGAGCGAGGGAGGAGAGGAAGGAGACCAACAAAUUCAGCAGAAAUCGAUAAAGAAGCAACCAGCGAAAGAGCAGGAGGAGGAGGAGAUGGAGAAGGGAAAACAAGAGCAACGGCACUGGCGGAAGACGAUGGGCCAUCGAUUCUCACCAACACUUCUACUUCUCAUGCCACUCGCACUGCUUGAACAUCCAGCUGCUGCGGAUGGACGACGUCGUCAUCGCGGUACGUGCUGGCGUCGUUCCGGGAGCUGCCAGAGUAUGUGAAGGACAACGAGCUCAUCCUUGGCCACCGUCCGUGCCAACUGGCCGCUCGCCGAGGCCGCUCGCAGCUUGUUCCGUUGGCACAACGAGAAGCUCAACGUCUGGUUAGUUGGCGGAUCUUCUCGACCUAUUCUCAAGGUACAAAUUCUUUGGUGAACUUGAAUCAGAUAAUGGAAGAAGAAAAUGAAGAUCGGUUCCCUCCAACCAGCCGCGACACGGUGGCCGUUCUUUGUUUUUUUUAGCUUGACACAGAUUUCUUCUGGAUAAAAGAUGUGAUUGGAUCGACUCUUGACAAAUAUUCUAUUUUGAAUGGGAAAAGAAACGCCGACAAAAUCAUUGAUCCUGA